CCUACGGGGGGCAGCAGUGGGGAAUCUUGCGCAAUGGGCGAAAGCCUGACGCAGCGACGCCGCGUGGGGGAUGAAGCUUCUCGGAGUGUAAACCCCUUUCGACCGGGACGAAUACCUCGCAAGAGGGGUGACGGUACCGGUAUAAGAAGCCCCGGCUAACUACGUGCCAGCAGCCGCGGUAAGACGUAGGGGGCCAGCGUUGUUCGGAAUUACUGGGUGUAAAGGGUUCGUAGGCGGUGUGGCAAGUCGGGAGUGAAAUCUCUGGGCUCAACUCAGGGGCUGCUUCCGAAACUGCUGUGCUGGAGUGUGGGAGAGGCGCGUGGAAUUGCAGGUGUAGCGGUGAAAUGCGUAGAUAUCUGCAGGAACACCCGUGGCGAAAGCGGCGCGCUGGACCACUACUGACGCUGAGGAACGAAAGCUAGGGGAGCAAACAGGAUUGGAUACCCCGGUAGUC
Molecule: ribosomal RNA, 454 nt
Filed under: uncultured bacterium
Lineage: Bacteria
Description: bacterial SSU rRNA
Rfam family: Bacterial small subunit ribosomal RNA
Source: RNAcentral